GAUGAACGCUGGCGGCGUGCCUAAUACAUGCAAGUCGAGCGAACAGACGAGGAGCUUGCUCCUCUGACGUUAGCGGAGGACGGGUGAGUAACACGUGGAUAAUCUACCUAUAAGACUGGGAUCACUUCGGGAAACCGGCGCUAAUACCGGAUAAUCUAUUGCACCGCAUGGUUCAAUAGUGAAAGACGGUUUUGCUGUCACUUCUAGAUGGAUCUGCGCCGCAUUAGGUAGUUGGUAUUGUAAAGGCGUACCAAGGCAACGGUGCGUAGCCGGCCUGGGAGGGUCGCCGGCCACAGAGGAACAGAGGCACGGUCGGGACUGCGACGAGGGGCAGCAGUAGGGGAGCGGCCGCAGUGGGGGAAAGCCUGAAAGGGGAGCGCCGCUGAAGUAGUGAAGGUGUUCGGGGCAUAAAGCCCUGUUAUUAGGAAAGAACAAAUGUGUGAGAAGCUAUGCGCGUGUUGACGGUAGGUAAACAGAAAGCCACUGCUAACGAC
This 494-nucleotide ribosomal RNA is filed under the name uncultured bacterium. Its description in RNAcentral is "partial 16S ribosomal RNA". It matches the Rfam family "Bacterial small subunit ribosomal RNA", at positions 28 to 504 of the family's 1533-position model. The record is from RNAcentral.